Molecule: long non-coding RNA, 7535 nt
Filed under: Triticum aestivum (bread wheat)
Lineage: Eukaryota; Viridiplantae; Streptophyta; Magnoliopsida; Poales; Poaceae
Description: long non-coding RNA (TAES_LNC027068)
Source: RNAcentral
UGGGACCAACAAGAUAUUUUGGACAGCCCACACCUACCCACUCACUUUCCCCACUUCAUUCCAUCCACCUCCUUCUCCAAGCUUUCGGCCAUCUCCUCCUCCUCACCUCAUUUCCACCAUAGAUUCAACAAAAUUAAGUGGUGAAAUUACCUUUUUUUGAUAGGUAAGUAAGGGAAAGCUAUCUUCAUGAUAUAGAUCUACUUUUUUUCCUCCCUAGUUCGCUCCAACAACGUGCACAUGCACUUUUUGUGGCCUAGCUAGAUCUAUGUAUGUUUGUGGUGUUGCAUGUGUUUGUGGUGUUGCAUAUAUGUUUGUGUUUGAAGGUACCGGUAUUUGAAAUAUGCGAUAGUUGCCAAUAUUUUGCCGAAAUGUUUUGAUUCAUUUCCGUUUCGACGAGAAUUUUGGCACUAUGAAUUCUUUUUGGUCCUAUUUUUAGGGAAGGUCAUGCCAAAUUUUUUCUUGGUUCUAACAUAUCGUUUUGCUCUACCCCGCAGGCGACCAUGGUCCGCACGAUGACUAAAGGCAUCGUGAAUAGGUUUUUGAGCUCCGCGAAGGCCGAGAUGCUUCAAAAGAACGAGAGGGAGAUAAGAUGUCCAUGUCGAAGAUGCAAGCUGAAGAGCCUUAUUGCGGACCCGGAUUCCGGGCAGGUGCGGGACCACCUGCUCUUGCGUGGUUUCAUGGAUGGCUAUCGGUGGCAAGGUGAUGAAGAUGACUAUCAAGUCGUCCAUGGCCGGGGCCGGGCAAGAAAUGAGGAAGGACAACAAGACAAGUACCACCGCGGCGAGGGCGGGCGAGAAGACGAAGAAUCUCCAGGACAUGAUCACGAUGGUGAUGCUGUACACAGUCAUCAUGUAGAAGAUGUCGUACAUGAUGAUGAGGAAGAUCAAGACGAAGGGAAUGAUCAUGAAGAUGAAGAUGCCGGAGCAGACGACGAUGGAGGCUGGGUGCAGGACCCUCAUAUUCAAGAGCUGCUUCUCAAGCGGACGGAUAACGCAAGAGCUGCCGCCCGACACAUCCGGUAAACCUUCUUCCUCAUAACCCUAGAUCUAUCUCUUAGGGAUCAUGUUUUCAUCUACGUUCAUAGGUGCUCAUCCGUAGUCUCUUCGUAUUCACUUCUGUCGUAGCUUUUUUGACUCAACUAUAGCAUAAAUCCCGUGCGGUAGUUGUUCCGCAUCCAGUUUAGUACUUAGUAGGUCUCCCUCUUUAUACAGAUUCCCUUAAUAGAGUGUACGAACUUCUCUGCUCUGUUUAUCACCUUUAUAGAUCGCAGAAAAUUUUCUUACUGAAACUCUGGUAGAUCCAAAUUAAUUUUGUCUCUGUGUGAAACCUGUUUCUGCCAACACUUAGCAGAUUUUGAACCCAGGCCCUUCUGCCUACGGGCGGUUUAUACCAUUAGCCCUCUCUUAAACCACCAACCAAUCUUAUCAGCAACUUGCCGGGUUAACACUAAAAAAUACACUUAAACCGCUUAAAUUGUGAAUCGGCAUUUAUUCUUCCUUGCAGCUUUUUCCUCCGGAAUGACCAAACAAUUCUCUACCUGUAAUUGGGUUCUGUCCAAGAUUACUGAGACUCAAAUCAAUGGAUAUGUCACCACUGGCGCUUUAGCCUCAAAGAGGGUGCUUCGCUGGCGAGUUCCGGGCUCUGAAUGCCCACCGACGCCUCAGGAUGGAGAAGUGAUUGUUUUUAUGCAACACCUAGACCAAGGAUUCAGCCCGCCCGGAUCAAAAAAUUCCCGGGAUGUCCUCGCAAGCUUCGAGCUCCAUCCACAAGACAUUGGACCGAACUCCGUGUCCAAUAUAUGAAACUUUCAAGUCUUCUGCGAAGUUUACCUCCAAGAAGAGCCAUAUGUGGAGUUGUUCCGGGAUUUCUUCCACUUGAACCGUCGCACAGAGUUCUCUGAUGGUCCCAACAUAGAGCUUGGUGGCGUCUCAAUUCAGAAAUGGAAAGAAGUUGACUUCCCACAUGCCAAACAUCAUAGCCAUCCUAAGGAUUGGAACCAGACUUGGUUUUACUGCCGGAACACUGCCCCUGACGGAGAAAAUCCUCUGCCGGGUUACCGUCGACACCGGCUUAGCAACAACCACCCAUUACCUUCAUGCUUAUCCGCCGCAGAGCCCUCAUGGCCAACGGUUUAACUGGCAUUGACCUCGUCCGCUGCUGGGUAUCUUGGGGUAUUUUACCCUUAAGCCGCCGCCCCGGAUUGAUGCAUGAAUACACUGGCAACGUCAAAGACCCUCAACGCUAUCAUGAAAUAGUAAUGACGGACCUUGAAGUUACUGAAUCUGCAAAGAAGAUGCUUGAUGAAACAGUAUCUGCAUGCAGUCAAACCGGAUGGCACCUUUUUACGUCUCCAAUCCUCCACCAGCGGUAAAGUUUAUCUGAAUAUUUCUUGAUUCGCCUCCGCUUUAACUGUGUGCUGACAUUUCUUUGCCUUAAUGUUAUAGGCUAACAGCUCCUUCUGGAAGCGGACGAAACCGGCCAAGGCUCGUCCAAAAACCAAGGUUAUCAAGAAGGUUCCCAAGAAGAAAAUCGCCGAGUCUUCUGAUCCGCCAGAGGAUGAGGAAUCAGACGCAGAGGUAAAAUUUGACUUACUUGGUUCCUUUAUUCGUACAUCCUAUUGACAAUGAUUGUUCCCAGGAGGAAGUUGAAGCCAGCCACGCCGACAAUGCUGAGGUAAUCACCCUUUCUUCCGAUUCUGAUCUUGUGCUGGUUCAAAAAGUUCACCGCACAAUCCGGAAAGUAAAACUAUCUCACCCUCUUGCUCAUUUGGAUCCCCAAUUUUCUGUGAAGACACAGCAAGCUGUAGAACGUCGCACAACCCGGCACAGUGGUCAACAAACCACCUCAUCCGGUUUACCAGAUACACCAACCCAGAAACGUCGUCCAGAGGUGACUUAUUCUCCUAAAAAGCUUUAUCCUUUGAAGGGUUUCUUCCGAUGCCCACUCAAUCCGUCUGAUUCGAAUUAUCAGGCAUCUUCCAACUCGUCUGGCGGUUCAUCAACCACUCAGUUGCCUCCCCUCAAGGUUGUCGCUGGGUAAGUACACAUUCUCAAGCUGUUUCUUCACGUGCCGGUUUAUCAUAUUUUAACUUUGGAUGUUUGUAGCGCCAAGGCCCGAUUGAGUAAAAAGGCCAAGACCAGCAGCCAUGCUGACGAAGUUGAUCCGGAGAAGACUCCUGAAGACGAGGGCGAAAAUCCUAAGAUUUCCACAGACCACUCUACUCCGGAAAAUCCAGGUGCUGAUGCUAAUCCGCCAGAGGCUGAACCGGAGAUACAGGUUGAUACAUCAACUCCUGAUGCCACCCCUCCAAAUCCAACUUCUGAUCCGCCAACCCCUGCUACCAGGUCGCCGAGCCCUACUGCCAAAGCGCCAAGCCCUGCUAAGGAGAAUAUCAAUCCUUCAAGCCCCUCCAAGGACGAUGACGUUGUUGUUACUGGUACGGCAUAUACCGCCCCAGGAAAUCCAGUUGUUUUAUCCAAGAAUACCGCCAAGGAUGAAUUUGCAUUUAUGAAUAAGGGGAAGAGCAAAACUGAUUUGUAAGACUAUGAUGAUUUAUCUGCCCAAGACCUUCAUUCCGGCUUCUUAAACCGUCUCUCCACCAGCCGAGACUAUGAGGCCGGUUUGGUAAAUUUGAUGAAAGAGCGCUAUGAGGUAAACCGUUGAAUCCUUUACUCUACCUUCAUUACAUUGUAGCCCCCAAGGGCCGGUUUGCCUUUAGAAAGUCAAACCGGGACUUUGCUUAUUUCAAACUGUACCUUGUUAAUUUCCUUUGUGCAUUUUUUAUCAAAUACACAUUAGCCCCCAAGUGCCAUGGUUAAAACUUGUAUUAGUCCGUGGGACUUCAAUAAUAAGUAGAAAAAAGUAAUCCUCAUUAGCCCCCAAGUGCCAAGUGUAUAACUGGUUAUAUGCUUGGGACUUUCAAAAAGGUAUUGAUCUGCUCUCCUUACUGUUGUAGAGUGAGAUAAAUCAACAAGUCUCUCAGAUUGCCAAUCUUCAAGAAAAUUUGAAAACCCAACAAACAGAAACCACCAAGGCUAGGGAGGAAUUGAAAACUGCCUUAACCACCAAUGAACAGCCGAAAGAGUGGUUCAAGUCCGAGCAGACCAACUGGGAUUCCGAAAAAGCCAGUUUACUGAAGCGGGCAGAAGAUGCUGAAUCAGUUCUUAAACCGGUGAAAGAAGAGCUUAUUGGAUUAAAGCGCCAAAUCAAUGCCAUGACCUCUGCAAUAUUUUGUAAGUAUUGUUUGCCAAUGUUUUAUGAAUACUCCGCUUUGAAAUCUUGUCGGUUUAACUUGACAUCCUUAAACCGUUGCAGGAGGCCGCAUUGCUCAACUGGGCUCUGAUAUGCGGAAGAAGCUCAAGGACGCCUAUACGCUGAUUGAACAGUUGUAUACCGGUGCCCAACGAGUUAUCUGUGCAGCUUCUUACGACAGUGCAGCUCCGACACUGAUCAAGGACACUCUGGCUAAGUUAUCUACGACGCCAGCUCAGAUAGAAGAGGUGAAGUGAUCCGCCGCCAGGGCUGGCACUUUGUUAGCACUGACCCGAGCCAAGGCAUGGAUAGCCGCCCUUGAUCUGGUUGGUAUUGCCAAGGGCUUUCCUAGUGAACAGGAAAAUGGGGCAGUAUUUGACAAUGACGCCCUUAAAUGUGUAACAAGGGAGAUGCGUCCUCUGGCGAGUCAGUUGGCUGAAGAAGCAAACUUGACGGUUCACCGGUCUUUCUAUGAUGCUGACAAAAAACGGGUUGAGGCUGUCAUUCCGGAAGUGCAAAACCUUAUUCCGCCAAUCCGUAAGCAUACUUACGCCCCUGACGUUCACCCGACUAAUCUUAUAAGUGAAGAGGUUGUCUUUCAGGCCUUAACCCGGAUUGACUGGACCACCGCUGACUUCCAACCAGUGGGUGGAGAUGAAGAGGCUGAACCGACACCAGAUGAUCCAUCUACUUCACGUCAACAUGGCGGUGAUGCUUGAUCCGGCAAUCCGGUUCACUUUGCGCAAAACUAUCCGGUUUAGAACAAUCCCAUAUUUUGGGNNNNNNNNNNUGUUUAAACACCUUGUAAUAGGGUAGCAAAAAAUACUUUGAUCUGUUACCAUCACGCAGUGGGAAAUACUUUGUGUUCUGUCACCAAAAUGUUGGAUCAUAUAUCAUAAGAUGCAAUCCCUAUGUCUGCAUAAAAAGAAUUGUCCUGGUGGUUUACCGCCGGACGGGUCAUAAUACCCAUGGUAAAUCCUGAUUGAGAACCAAACUUUACAAAAUAUGAAAUAACUCAUACCUGAGAUGUGAUAUAUCACGUUUAGUUGGUUGACCAACUGUAAUAAGGGUGAAGACCCAAAUCUUGAAUUUUUGUACAACUUCACCUUGUACUGAUGGUGUAUAAGAAGUCAUGCUGGGUUACAAUAAACACCAGAUGAUCAAAACUGGCGACAAGUAGUCAAAGCCAGGCCGGGUUAAUACACUCCGGUUUAACAAUAAGGUUCAUCAACUUUGAGUUGAGAUCCAAGCCGGGUUAACUAACACCGGGUUAAUGUGAUGACUAAAAAGCCAUACCAGAUUGAAGAUGCCGGUUUAACACAAAGUCAUCAAAGAGAAAAAUAGUAACAAGCGCAAAUAAAACCGUGUAGUCGAGGCAUUUCAAGGGCUGCCAGGCCCAAAUUCGAGGCUUUUCAUGGGCUGCCAGGCCACUGAGUUAAACCAUUUGACGAAGCCUUUUAAGAUGGACCUCCAACUAACCAAUCACCGUUUUAACUUUGACAAGUUCAGGGUCUCAAUGAGAGUAACUGUCAAACGUUCGGAGGGUCGUGCCAGGAUUCUCUGGAUAGGAGUGGCUUACUUGAUGAAGGCAGGUUAACCCGGGGUUUUAGGUAAAUAUACCAGGCUUCCAAGCCGUGGGGCGAUACCCAGCUACAAGGGUCCAUUCAAACUCCUGGGUAUUUGACACAAGGAGCCCCCAAGUAACAUGAUGAGCUGUGCUCAUCAGGUGCUUAUGUUUGAGCUAUGUAUAGCAUCCAGACUCUCUAUGGCCCUUUGGGUGUGAAGCUCCCGAGCUGUAUUGUGGCAUAAUAGUCGGUUUAAUAGGUAGUACUCCGCUUUGUCAGCUAAAGCCCCCAUGCAACUCAAAAGAUAUUUUGAGAGAAAAAACAGCAGAGGCCCUGCUUAUAGCAAGGAUGCUAGUUCAUUUUAUUGAUCAUAAUAUAUACAUUGUCGAAAUAUGUACAUAAGGAAAGCCUAUCGCUCAAGUAUAGUAAGGCCGUAGGAGAGCUAUGUUCCUCGGCCGCCGGGUCUCCUCCUCAGAAGUACGUGAGUUGUCUCGAACGUCAAUGAGGUAGUAUGAUCCGUUGUGCAGAUUUUUGCUGACCACAAAGGGUCCUUCCCAAGGUGGGGAUAACUUGUGCAUGUCGGUCUGAUCCUGGAUGAGCCGGAGCACCAAAUCGCCUUCUUGAAAGGUUCUUGUUCUAACACGAUGGCUAUGAUAACGCCGCAAGUCUUGCUGGUAAACCGCCGAACGGGCUAAAGCCAUAUCUCGUUUUUCAUCCAACAGGUCCAACGCCCACUACUAGGAAAAGGGCUAUAGAUAGGAUUGAUUCUAAUGGCGCACCGUGGAAGCAGUGCGCCACUACUAUAUACUAAUGGCGCACCUGUUUGUGAUACGCCAUUAGUGUGGAAGACACUAAUGGCGCACCGUAAACAGGGUGCGCCACUAGUAUGAAUUAUUAUUUUUUUCCAUUUUCCCAUACAUACUAAUGGCGCAUCGGGUCCAUAAUGCGCCAUUACUAUCUAUAACUACUAAUGGCGCACCAAGCAGGCAGUGCGCCAUUACUGUAAAUUUUGUUUUAUUCUUUUUUUUUGCAAAACUACUAAUGGCGCAUCGUGGCACAGUGCGCCAUUACUAGUUUAAACUAGUAAUGGCGCACUCAGAGGAGAUGCACCAUUAGUAUAUAUACUUAUUAUUUUUACUUUUUUGCAAAACUACUAAUGGCGCACCGUAGGCUGAUGCGCCAUUAGUAACCAGGGUUACUAAUGGCGCAUUUUCCUACGGUGCGCCAUUAGUAACCUGGGACCAACAAGAUAUUUUGGACAGCCCACACCUACCCACUCACUUUCCCCACUUCAUUCCAUCCACCUCCUUCUCCAAGCUUUCGGCCAUCUCCUCCUCCUCACCUCAUUUCCACCAUAGAUUCAACAAAAUUAAGUGGUGAAAUUACCUUUUUUUGAUAGGUAAGUAAGGGAAAGCUAUCUUCAUGAUAUAGAUCUACUUUUUUUCCUCCCUAGCUCGCUCCAACAACGUGCACAUGCACUUUUUGUGGCCUAGCUAGAUCUAUGUAUGUUUGUGGUGUUGCAUGUGUUUGUGGUGUUGCAUAUAUGUUUGUGUUUGAAGGUACCGGUAUUUGAAAUAUGCGAUAGUUGCCAAUAUUUUGCCGAAAUGUUUUGAUUCAUUUCCGUUUCGACGAGAAUUUUGGCACUAUGCAUUCUUUUUGGUCCUAUUUUUAGGGAAGGUCAUGCCAAAUUUUUUCUUGGUUCUAACAUAUCGUUUUGCU